AAGAAGAGGGCUUUUUUCCCCACUCUGUGAAGUUGCUUGCUUGGCUGGAAGUCCAGAGCUAUCAGAGGCCAUCCCUUACCCCGUGAAGGAGCUGUCUUGCAAUAGAAGAAGCAGCCCACCCAAGGAGAGAAACAGGGAAAUUCUUCUUCUUGUGCCCAUACUCUGGAACUUUCCUACGACAAGGAGCAAUUUGCUGUAUGUUUAUUUUCUUUGGAAUCAUCUCUCCUUCAUGGAAGCAGGGUUAUUUAUCAACCUGUGAUGGAGCUCUUCCUGGUUUGGUUAGGGCAUGCUGCAUACUGCUCCUGUAAUAAUGCUUUCUUUGGCCAGGACACAAACCACAGUCAAAAAAGGUCUUCCUGAGUUCUGAAGGUCAAGCAAUUAGAAUUUUCUCAGGCUUGUAGAAGAGUGGAAUUCUGGAAACCAGUCUUCGCCUCAGGGGAGCAUCUGUUGGAAGUUCUUAGGGAUGCUCAGGCAUAUGGCCUCAGAAACAUGGGCUAUUGAGACAGAGAAAAAGACAACUCUGGAAGGAGAGAGCCUGGCCUUACAGAAGACAUCUGAACUAUCAAUCAACAGAAAUCUCACGUAUAGUUGAAGAAUCAGAAAUCUGAGCGUAGGAAGAAGUGGGUUAGCCCUGGAGAAAGGAAAAGGAGGAUCAUGGUUCUCUGCAAAGAGCUGGAAGCUAAAAAGCAGGCUGUGUUUACUUACCAACCAGGACUCAGUGGGAUCUUUGCCAGCUUCCAAUAUGGCCUUAAAAGUAUAUGAAAUCCAAGAAAUAUUUCUGCAAAGCAAGAGAUCUUCACUGCUUUAUUUUCCACCACCUGAAUCCUUGCAGUGAGUGUAGUGUGUAUCUAAUCAAUCUAUUAAAAAAUACUUCAAAAGUUCUA
RNAcentral lists this long non-coding RNA (884 nucleotides) under Homo sapiens (human). RNAcentral's name for it is "PREDICTED lncRNA (TCONS_00252047)". Lineage: Eukaryota; Metazoa; Chordata; Mammalia; Primates; Hominidae. The record is from RNAcentral.